ACUUGCUAGUUACCAUCAUUAAGUUGGGGACUCUAGCGAGACUGCCAGUGAUAAACUGGAGGAAGGUGGGGAUGACGUCAAAUCAUCAUGCCCCUUAUGACCUGGGCUACAAACGUGAUACAAUGGCUGGAACAAAGGGAUGCGAAGCAGUGAUGUGGAGCGAAACCCAUAAAAACAGUCUCAGUUCGGAUUGAAGUCUGCAACUCGACUUCAUGAAGUCGGAAUCGCUAGUAAUCGCGGAUCAGAACGCCGCGGUGAAUACGUUCUCGGGGUUU
RNAcentral lists this ribosomal RNA (275 nucleotides) under uncultured Acholeplasma sp. Its description in RNAcentral is "partial 16S ribosomal RNA". It matches the Rfam family "Bacterial small subunit ribosomal RNA", at positions 1106 to 1382 of the family's 1533-position model. Lineage: Bacteria; Bacillati; Mycoplasmatota; Mollicutes; Acholeplasmatales; Acholeplasmataceae. The record is from RNAcentral.